Molecule: ribosomal RNA, 200 nt
Filed under: uncultured bacterium
Lineage: Bacteria
Description: partial 16S ribosomal RNA
Rfam family: Bacterial small subunit ribosomal RNA
Source: RNAcentral
AACGAACGCUGGCGGCAGGCUUAACACAUGCAAGUCGAACGCCCCGCAAGGGGAGUGGCAGACGGGUGAGUAACGCGUGGGAAUCUACCUAGUUCUACGGAACAACAGUUGGAAACGACUGCUAAUACCGUAUACGUCCGAUAGGAGAAAGAUUUAUCGGAGUUGGAUGAGCCCGCGUUGGAUUAGCUAGUUGGUGGGGU